Zea mays is the source of this 907-nucleotide long non-coding RNA. RefSeq lists it as uncharacterized. The record is from RefSeq and is a predicted model, not a curated record. NCBI's taxonomy places the organism in Eukaryota, Viridiplantae, Streptophyta, Magnoliopsida, Poales, Poaceae. The transcript has 2 exons.
GCGGUUGAUAGUGGAUCUGAUUCCUCGUGGUUUUUUUCCUCCAUAUUGGAGGGGAUUUUUCCACGUAAAUCUUCGUUUUAUUUCCUAACAAGUGGUAUCAAAGCUAGGGUGACACAUUGUUUUUAUCCACAUUGUGGCUGCCGCCGCCACCGAGUUUUGCCUUUGUCGAUCUACAGUAGUCGCCGCUCCGAACUUCAACAAAUCAGUUUGUCGCGCCGCUGUGAUCCAUGUCCGGAUCUGCGUCGUCACUGGAUUCUUCCCCAGGCUCAUCAGUGGUUGCGCUAGUUCAUCGUCGACACACAUGAUGUCUCUGUCGGUGAGGAAUCAUGUUGAAUCACCUGCUCAUUUGCAUUCGUGUGCAAGCGACGUGUACUGGUUUUGUGUGUUAGGUGCUUGAUCGAUCUGCAACAGCUCUCAACGAGGGAGUCACACCCACGUGCACCUGCUGUGGUGGAUUCUUGGUGGAUUCUCUCACCGAAGAACAAGGACGUUAUCAUUUCUCUUGUUUCCAAGCACCUUGGCAUUAGUCCAUCACAAGUUCUCAAAUUCAGAUGAAGGCUGUUCUUACCCAGUUGGUUGUUCAAAAGGCAUUGCAGAUGCGACCUGCUGACAUGAAUGAUGAAAAGUGGCAAGAUAUUGAUAAGAGAGCUUUGUUCGCCAUACAACUCAGUUUAUCUUUUCAUGUUCUGCGUGAAGUAAUGCAUGAAAAAUUCGUAGCAACAUUGUGGAAGAAAUUAGAGAAGCUGUAUAUGACCAAGAGUCUUACAAACAAGCUACGUCUCAAGGAGUGUAUUUACACUAUUCGCAUGUCAGAAAGUACAUCUAUGCAGUCACCUCUUAAUGAAUUUAAUUCAAUUAUUGUGGACCUUGAGAGUCUUGAUGUGAAGAUAAGACAAUUUUGUUGGUA